Molecule: RNA transcript, 2892 nt
Organism: Ricinus communis (castor bean)
Lineage: Eukaryota; Viridiplantae; Streptophyta; Magnoliopsida; Malpighiales; Euphorbiaceae
Exons: 10
Source: RefSeq, a predicted model, not a curated record
CCUUUGUUUUUAUUUUCUUUUCCUCUGAAGACUUGCUCGCAAAAAAUAAACAAAAACAUUCUUUACUCAGUCGCCCAUAGGGAGAGGCAGCAGCAGCAGCAGCUAUGGCCGCAGCAACCAUUAGCUAUUAUCUACCGAAUCAAUUCGGAAACUCAAGGCAAUUCUUAUUCAAUCCUUACACUAGACCCAUCUUCAAACGCAGCAAUUUCGCGGCAAAAGUUCGCGCUUCUUCUUCCACUUCUACUUCUACUGCCCUGCUCGAAUCAAAACCAGCGGAUGCUGUCGUGGUCGAAAAAGAGGAGGUCAGUAGAAGCAGUACGAACAUAAUCGCUUGUCCUAUAUGUUACGAGCCAUUGUCUUUGAUAGGUGAUCGUCUCUUGUCUGUGGAUAUUGGUGAGUGUAGUUUGCGAUGUGGCAGUUGUAAAAAGAUUUACUAUGGUAAAGAAACACAUAUUGAAUUAACUGUGGCUAGUGGAGCCAGUAAAUAUGACGAUGCUAUGCCCUUGGCUACUGAAUUUUUCAGGCUUUCACUGAUAUCAUUUCUCUAUGAGAGGGGUUGGCGUCAAAAUUUCAUUUGGGGUGGUUUCCCUGGCCCAGAAAAAGAGUUUGAAUUGAUAAAGGAUUACCUCAAGCCAGUUUUAGGUGGAAAUAUUAUUGAUGCUAGUUGCGGUAGUGGGUUAUUUUCAAGACUUUUUGCCAAGAGUGGGUUGUUUUCUCUUGUUGUUGCAUUGGACUACUCAGAAAACAUGCUGCAGCAGUGUUAUGAUUUCAUCAAGCAGGAGGAAAACUUUCCCACAGAGAACUUAAUAUCGGUCAGAGCCGAUAUCUCAAGACUUCCAUUUCUUUUUGGUUCUGUUGAUGCUGUCCAUGCUGGUGCUGCCAUACACUGUUGGCCUUCACCAUCAGCAGCUGUAGCUGAAAUAAGUCGGGUUCUGAGACCUGGGGGUGUUUUUGUUGCUUCCACUUUCAUACUCGAUGGGCCCUUCAGUUUUGUCCCACUGAUGGGGCCUCUGCGCCAGAAUAUUGCGCAAAUAUCAGGCAGUCAAAUAUUUCUGCGUGAAUAUGAACUAGAAGAUAUCUGCAGGGCCUGUGGGCUAGUUGGAUUUACAGCUAUAAGAGAUAGGCAAUUCGUGAUGUUUUCUGCUAGAAAACCCAGUCCUCAAAAGAAAAAUUUCCACGAGCUGUCUCGGAAUGCUUUAAAGGGAGCAGUCAUUGUAGAUAAAGCCAGCCGCAGCUUCUUUUAACGUUCACCAAGAGAAGUGAAUGCUAACUAGUUUCUCAUCAUUGUAUCAUUAUCAAAAUUCAAAAUCCAUGUUCUUCUGCGAUUCACUGAGGUUGGAAAAUGUCAACUGGCGAUAGGGCAUCAUCUUCUCUUCAUCGUCAUCAAGAUCAGGACAAUCCUCCCCUUCAUAAACCAUUUCAAUAACAGAUGCCUCUUCAGCUUCAACCAACUCAACUUGACAAUUUCCUCUGCUUGUAGGUGAAUCAUCUAAAAUCAACUGUUCCAUCUCUAAUUCUAUCAGCGCUUCCAUAUGAGCUCGCUCUCUAUCUCUUGGGUAGGUACGAUAGAGGAAUGAGUAGAUGAAACAGCACAGGGCCAUUGGAAUUCCUAUUGCUGUAUACAGAGCUUUGGCCAAUGAUGCAGCAUUUCUUCUAUCUGUAGCAAUCUCUUCAGAUUCACUGGAUCCUUUAGGAAGGGGUUUAUAACCAUAAACAUAUUGAGCAAGCAGUCCAACUAUUGGGGGAGCAAAUGAUGAGAGUAUGGACUCGAAAGAUCUAUCCAAAGCGUAGACGCUUGUCCGGGAUUUUUCAGUUCUCUUCUCAAUGGAAGGCUUAUGAAAUUAUUGGAAGGAAUAAAGAGAAAGCAAGGUUGAGAGACUUACUUAUUUGUAGCUGGAGCGUUCCAAGUAAUGAACAGACCCAUGACGACCAAGACUAAUCCGUGCAUAAAUGCUGUGGAUGGAUCAUCAGGUAAACCCAGCAGAAGAAUUGCUGCUAGAGGGAUAGCUGAUGCAGAGCUUAUCUGUGCCAGAAUUAUUCUUCCAGCAUUUGGGAAACGUGUGGAAAGUAUAUCCCCCAUUUUGCCUCCAAACAAGCCCCCAAAUGAACCAGCAAUUACAAAUAAUGCUACGAGGAGUGCUGUCUUUUCAUGGGAAAACCCAAUAAGCUCUAACCACAUUGCUGAAAAUGUCAAAGCUGACCAAGGGAAUGAACCAGUGAUGCCCUGAGCCACUAUUAUCUGGAAAGAUGGAAUUUUUAUGACUGACUUGGCUUCUCGGACUAGAUCCUUCACUUCUGAAAAAAAGGAUUUACUUACAUCUUGAUUCCUAUUUUUCAUACUAGCAUCUGAAAAGUGUGGAUCAUUGGCAAAAAGGUAGACUAGCACACCCACCAUGACACUUAUUAUUCCAACAAGAUGGAAUGAAAGCCUCCAUCCAGGAAUUCCCAUGAAUGUUAUGGGAGCUAUCAGUACUGAACAUAGUCCCCCAACAAUUGAACCAAUGUUGGCUGUUAGUUGUAGCCAACCAAAAGCUGUACCACGGUUACUAUCAUCAGUUGAAUCAGCAACCAGGGACUGGAUUGCAGGUGCAACUAUAGCAAGCCCAAUGCCAUUCAGAGCUCUGGAUACAGCCACCUGUUUAAGAAAAGCUGAAGGACUUGAAAUAAAUAAAAUCAGUCGACAAACCUACUGUGGUACUUAGCUCUCUAUCGCGUGCAUGAUGAUUGCCUAUCAUAUGUAACUAAAUCUCAUAUUAAUAUACAUAUCUUUAGGUACUACAUUUUAAUUUUUUCCUUUCAUGUAGGAUUUGAGCCACUUCAAAGUUUAAAAAAAAACAACUCAGGUUGAUAUAAAACACUUGGAAAAUAGAUAACAGUGAAUUAUUCGAGCUA